GCAGGUGCUCAUAGAGCUUAAUAGGGAAUCCGGUGAAAAGCCGGAGCGGUCCCGCCACUGUAGGGUGGAGCCUUGCGCAUUGUGUCACUGGGGUAGAUAUGCGUACCCUGGGAAGGCGUGCAAGACGAUGAAACCGAGCCAGGAGAACUGCCUGUUUUA
Molecule: non-coding RNA, 159 nt
Filed under: uncultured Mitsuokella sp.
Lineage: Bacteria; Bacillati; Bacillota; Negativicutes; Selenomonadales; Selenomonadaceae
Source: RNAcentral